This 1073-nucleotide ribosomal RNA is filed under the name Triticum aestivum (bread wheat). RNAcentral describes it as "partial small subunit ribosomal RNA". Lineage: Eukaryota; Viridiplantae; Streptophyta; Magnoliopsida; Poales; Poaceae. The record is from RNAcentral.
ACACCAACAAGAAAACUCAUCUACCCACCAAUGGCGCUCGUAUGCAGUCGGCCAGCCUCCCUCCUACUCAUCGCGGCUCUUCUCUCCGCCGCAACCUUCCUUGCCGUCCCGGCCGCGGCCACGGGGAAGACCGGCCAGGUGGCCGUGUUCUGGGGUAGGAACAAGAACGAGGGGUCCCUCCGGGAGGCCUGCGACACCGGCACCUACACCAUCGCCAUCAUCUCCUUCCUCGACGUCUUCGGCCGCGGCAACUACCACCUCGACCUGUCUGGCCACGACGUCUCCGCCGUCGGCGCCGACAUCAAGCACUGCCAGUCCAAGAACGGCGCGCCGGCCAACUACGACGAGCUGGCCAAGCGGCUAUGGAACUUCAAUAAGGACUUCCGCGGCAGGACGCCGGUGCAGCUGACGGCCACGCUGCGGUGCGGCUACCCGGACCGGCACGUGGAGCGGGCGCUCGCCACGGGGCUCGUCGGACGCAUCUUCGUCAGGUUCUACGACGACGCCGACUGCGCCGCCAACUGGCAGCGACAGUGGGACAAGUGGACGGCGGCGUACCCUUCGGCGCAGAUCUACCUCGGGCUGCCGGCGUCGGAGCAGAAGGUCGGUUACGUUCACCCAAAGAACCUCUACUACAGCGUCAUACAGGUGGCGCAGAAGGCGGCCAACUACGGCGGCGUCAUGGUGUGGGAACGCUACGAGGACAAGCGGACCAACUAUAGCAGCUACGCCAUCCAAUGGGCUUGAGCCUCCGUCGCUCACAUCCGUCACCGUGUGUGAAUUUGGUGUAUCCGUCUGUCUACUGCAUACUCUGCAUGUGUUUGCUUACCUUACGGUAAAUAAGUAUCACCAGUGUGAGAACGGCGUUUCGGUGCCCGGGUGCACCUGCAUCCGGUCAAAACAAAAUUCGUAAAAAAUUCAGAAAAAAUCAAAAAAAAUUCAAAAAAAAUUGGAUGGUAGACAAUUUGAUGCGUGAGGUACGCUCUAAUUUUCAAAACAUUUGGACUUCUGUGCAGCUCUCAGCAAAAAAGACAAUUAGACCAGAACAGUAUAUGAACAGUGCACAUUUUUAC